This is a long non-coding RNA of Amaranthus tricolor (Joseph's coat), 1029 nucleotides long. RefSeq lists it as uncharacterized. The record is from RefSeq and is a predicted model, not a curated record. The transcript has 3 exons. NCBI's taxonomy places the organism in Eukaryota, Viridiplantae, Streptophyta, Magnoliopsida, Caryophyllales, Amaranthaceae.
AAUACCACUACAAGAAAAAUAAUCUUGGGCGUAACAAGUGUGUGGCACAUGAGUUACUUAGGGCGUCAUCCGUAAUUCAAGAAGCACAAAGGUGGGUUUAGGCGACAAUAUACAUGUAUCGCCCAAAUUCCCGCGCCAUUCAUCACUGACCUAAAUUCCCCCAAAAGGAACCUAAGUUCAUCACUUACCCUUAAAAACCCCAAAAAACUCUGUCAUUCCUCCAUCUCUCCCACGUUGUUGCUGCUGCUCUCCAUCUCUCCCGCACGAAGCCAUUACUGUUGCUGCUCUUCUCAAGUUGGAUCGAGCUAACCAGCGUACAUCUAAUGGUUCAGAUUCACAAACUUAAAUCUACCAUAAAUUCUCGUAUAAGACCGUUUCACGGUGAGACCAUUUUAUUUGAGUUGGCCCAAUAUACAUUUAUUUUUAAGGUGAGAUUUUUUAUAGUUUUAAAAUUAUCACUUAUAACCUUAAAGUAAUCACUUAUAAUUUCAAAGUGAUUACUUAGAGAAAUGGACUUACUUGUAUGAACUCACACACUGUAAAUCUACUGAUUCCGAUCAUUCCAAGUUGAUUUUGAUCAUCAGCUGAACGAGAAUGGCAAAAAUGAUUCGUGGUUCAACUUAAUUUGGUAUGAAUAUAUGAUUGAGUUUUAUUUCUCUUGGAGAACUAAUAUGUGUUUAUAGUUUAUUGUGUGUAUAAUUUAUGCAUUGCCUUUGAGAAGGUGUUUUUGGAUUAAUUUUUUGUCCGACGAAGUUAAGUUUUAAGGUCAAUGGUACGUAAUGCUGAAAAUGAUCAUAUUUUGCUCUAGUAAAGAAGUAAUUUGAUAAUCAUCUUUUUAUAUGUGAUGGUUAUCUUGAGCAAGUACAUAGCCAUUAUAAUUUUUGGAUAUUUUUGUGAGUCGAACUUUUAUGUAAAGAACCAAAAUUAAAUGUGUAUGCAUAUACAAGCAAAUUACUUACUCUUUUAUAUAAGAAGCAAUAUAUUAUGAUUAUUAUUAUUAUUAAUGUGCAAUUAAUAAUUAUGAGCUUU